CAGUAGCCGCGGGAAUACGUAGGUGGCAAGCGUUGUCCGGAAUUAUUGGGCGUAAAGGGCUCGCAGGCGGUUUCUUAAGUCUGAUGUGAAAGCCCCCGGCUCAACCGGGGGGGGUCAUUGGAAACUGGGAAACUUGAGUGCAGAAGAGGAGAGUGGAAUUCCACGUGUAGCGGUGAAAUGCGUAGAGAUGUGGAGGAACACCAGUGGCGAAGGCGACUCUCUGGUCUGUAACUGACGCUGAGGAGCGAAAGCGUGGGGAGCAAACAGGAUUAGAUACCCGGGUAGUCCCUGUCUCUUAUAC
RNAcentral lists this ribosomal RNA (301 nucleotides) under uncultured bacterium. RNAcentral describes it as "partial 16S ribosomal RNA". It matches the Rfam family "Bacterial small subunit ribosomal RNA", at positions 509 to 807 of the family's 1533-position model. The record is from RNAcentral.